GUGCCCUACGGGGCGCAGCAGUGGGGAAUAUUGGGCAAUGGGCGCAAGCCUGACCCAGCAACGCCGCGUGAAGGAAGAAGGCUUUCGGGUUGUAAACUUCUUUUCUUGGGGACGAAGAAAGUGACGGUACCCAAGGAAUAAGCCACGGCUAACUACGUGCCAGCAGCCGCGGUAAUACGUAGGUGGCAAGCGUUAUCCGGAUUUAUUGGGUGUAAAGGGCGUGUAGGCGGGAAUGCAAGUCAGAUGUGAAAACUAUGG
RNAcentral lists this ribosomal RNA (258 nucleotides) under uncultured bacterium. Its description in RNAcentral is "partial 16S ribosomal RNA". It matches the Rfam family "Bacterial small subunit ribosomal RNA", at positions 334 to 606 of the family's 1533-position model. The record is from RNAcentral.